UGAACGCUAGCGGCAGGCCUAACACAUGCAAGUCGAACGGUAACAGAGAAGAGCUUGCUCUUUUGCUGACGAGUGGCGCACGGGUGCGUAACGCGUAUACAAUCUACCUUUUACAGGGGGAUAGCCUUUAGAAAUGAAGAUUAACACCCCAUAGUAUCUAUGAUAUCGCAUGGUAUUUAGAUUAAAAUUUCGGUGGUAAAAGAUGAGUAUGCGUUCUAUUAGCUAGAUGGUGUGGUAACGGCACACCAUGGCGACGAUAGAUAGGGGCCCUGAGAGGGGGAUCCCCCACACUGGUACUGAGACACGGACCAGACUCCUACGGGAGGCAGCAGUGAGGAAUAUUGGACAAUGGGCGAGAGCCUGAUCCAGCCAUGCCGCGUGCAGGAAGACUGCCCUAUGGGUUGUAAACUGCUUUUAUACAGGAAGAAACCCACCUACGUGUAGGUGGCUGACGGUACUGUAAGAAUAAGGAUCGGCUAACUCC
This 484-nucleotide ribosomal RNA is filed under the name uncultured bacterium. RNAcentral's name for it is "bacterial SSU rRNA". It matches the Rfam family "Bacterial small subunit ribosomal RNA", at positions 30 to 504 of the family's 1533-position model. The record is from RNAcentral.